Molecule: small RNA, 371 nt
Filed under: Pongo abelii (Sumatran orangutan)
Lineage: Eukaryota; Metazoa; Chordata; Mammalia; Primates; Hominidae
Description: processed transcript
Source: RNAcentral
GAUGACACCCCCGUGACAGAGUCCGACCUCAGUCGCGCACCCAUAAAAAUGAGUGCCCACAUGGCAAUGGUGGAUGCCCUGAUGAUGGCCUACACUGUGGAGAUGAUCAGCAUCGAGAAGGUGGUGGCCAGUGUCAAGCGCUUCUCAACGUUCAGUGCCUCGAAAGAACUUCCGUACGACCUCGAGGAUGCCAUGGUGUUCUGGAUCAACAAGGUAAAUCUUAAAAUGAGAGAGAUAACAGAGAAAGAAGUUAAAUUAAAACAACAGUUAUUGGAAAGUCCAGCUCAUCAAAAGGUAAAGGGUAAAUUUAAUUCUUCUGGAAUGCACUAAGUUAAUGUUGGUCCCAAUUUUAAAGAAUUCUGUUAGUUUCC